AACUGAUAUAAAAUUAGGGUACGUUUGUUUGCUAGAAAAACAUUUUCUGAAAAAUGUUUUCCUGAUUUUACGGUGUUUGGAAGCUUGAAAACAUUUUACACUUACGAAAAUAUUUUCCAUGACACGGGUAAAAUGACCUCAGUUUAGGAAAAAUAUCUUAUUCCGUCCUUCUCCUUCUUCAAUCUGUCUUCCCCUCACGAAUUUGCAGGAUCUAAACGUCCCAAAGUUGGCCCAUCAUCGAUAUUAUAUUAUGUAUGAUAGCUGGUCCCCAGCCAUGACUAUAAGUUCUAUCUGCAUCAGCAUUCUCUCCAUGUUAUCAAGCUCAACUGCCAAGCAAAAGGCCGGCUGAUAACGAUCGAUAUGUUAAGAAUUGUCGAAAUGGCAGGUCUCCCAAGGAGACGAGAUGGUGGUUCCAUGACGAUAAAGAAUAUUAAUAAUAACCUAUCAUCUAUAAUCUAUGUAUAAAAACUGAGGUUACAGGGAUAGGUAAUCGUUUACAUUUGUCAUGCUGUGUAUGAAAUUAUGAAUUAAACGUAGAUUUAUUUUGGGCAGACUGAGCAAUAUAAACCUUUCUUUUCUUCUAA
Molecule: long non-coding RNA, 584 nt
Organism: Gossypium raimondii (Peruvian cotton)
Lineage: Eukaryota; Viridiplantae; Streptophyta; Magnoliopsida; Malvales; Malvaceae
Exons: 3
Source: RefSeq, a predicted model, not a curated record